This 199-nucleotide long non-coding RNA is filed under the name Ananas comosus (pineapple). RNAcentral describes it as "long non-coding RNA (ACOM_LNC017895)". The record is from RNAcentral. Lineage: Eukaryota; Viridiplantae; Streptophyta; Magnoliopsida; Poales; Bromeliaceae.
UGAGACAUGUUCGUAGCGGUCGAUAGAGCUUCCGACCCGGUUUGUUCGGUUUAGUUGUUAUCCCCUUUAUUUCUGUUGAUAUAACUUAGACAGCUAAUAUGGUUCAGUAUUUUAUUAUGUUUUAAUAUUCAAGAUUUCAGUUGGUUUUCUGAAUUUAAUAAAGAUUCGUGGAUUUUUGUAAAAUGGAAAGAUUUUCUAU